Molecule: long non-coding RNA, 507 nt
Filed under: Phoenix dactylifera (date palm)
Lineage: Eukaryota; Viridiplantae; Streptophyta; Magnoliopsida; Arecales; Arecaceae
Description: long non-coding RNA (PDAC_LNC014354)
Source: RNAcentral
CCGACUAUGAAUUUCUUCAAGCCGACAUCCUCUGCCUUGUACUUUUUGGCCAAGGACUCCCACAAUUCCUUUGCUGUUUUCAUUGAACUAUAAACAUUAUACAAAGUGUUGUCCAAUCCAUUCAGGAUAUAGUUCUUGCAUAGAAAGUCUGACUUAUUCCAUGCUUCAACAACAGCCUCAUCUUCACCAUUCUUGCUUGGAGAAUCCUUAGAGAGAAACUUAGCCAGAUUCAAAGUGGUCAGGUAAAACAACAUUUUCUGUUGCCACCUUUUGAAAUCAAGCCCACUGAAUUUCCCAGGCUUCUCUCCAUGAGUCACAGGCAUUGCACUAGAUGAUGCCAUUUUUUCAGUCACUGAAUUGUACACAAAAUUAUAAGAGUAAGAAAUUUGUACAGUUCAAUGGAACAAAUCUAACUUCACUAUAGGUUAUUAAAAAUAAACUAAAUAUAAUUUAUACUGAUUAACACAAAUCAAACAAGUCCAAUACUGUAUAAACAAUAUUGACUUU